CAUCCUUCUCCCUUCAUCCUUCCUCUUCUUCUCCCUUCAUUCUUCCUCUUCUGUCUUCCUCUUCUGUCUUCUAAUCUUCUUCGUUCUUCCUUUUUUUCUUCUGUCUUCUACGACAUGACUUUAUGAUUUCAAAAACAAAUCUCCAUUUGUUAUUAACAAUAUUGCUAACGAAACUCUAGCCGAAGGCAAAAGAAUGGCUCGAAGUCUUCCUACAUAUGUCAGUUUGCUUUCGUCGCAUUUGUGACCGGCAUCCACCGUUUGGGGUCUAAAUAAUCCACAUCUGCUGAUUCAAUGGUUAUUACGGAGAGGUUGUCCAAGGAAGAAAUUGGUUGUUUAAAAGAGUGUAGAUUUAAAAUUUGGAGUGGCAUGCCCUUUUGAUUGAUAACUCAAAUAACAGCAAAGGAGAAAAGGAGUCGGUGAACGGGCAUAUGGCAACUUAUUUCUUUGUUUCACAAGUUUUAACAAAUGCAGUAAUUUUGGUAUGUUAGUAUUACUCUUCUGUUCACUGAUGUUAUUAUUUUUCCACUAUCUUUUUGUUAUACGUCGAUUUUGCUGUUGUUCUUUGGUUUCACGGUAGUUAAAAUGAGCAUCAAGCACGCGUACGCAUCGAGGAAACAUGGGGAGGUUGUUUAUAAAGUAAGUUUUUUGGUUUCAGGUUUGUAAUUGUUCGAUGAAAGCUCCUAAAAGAACACGUUAUUUGGUACGACAGUCCCUGUUAUAAGUGAAAUAAUUUAUUUCACCUAAACUAUUUAGUAAAUAAAAUUUACCACACCGCUGAAGCAAUAUCUCUUGACUAAAAACUAGCUGAAAUAUAUUUUUUUAAACCUUUUUCCCUUUGAUUUUUAGGUGUGAAUGAAUGCAGUUAGACAAUGGUGAUAUCAUAUGCUUUCAUAAAGCUUCUGCAAUGGGUAACGGUUAACAGGAGAAAUUAAAUAUACUGAUAAAGCUUCAUUGGUUACAAGAUUGGUCAAAACUUUCUCGAUGUUUGCAUAGAUUAAAAUGUUGGAGUAUUGAGGGAAGAGGUUGCAAAUGGAGCCAUUGAAAUUCAGCGGUGCUUAUCCAUCGAGUGAGGAGUUAGAAUCUUUGGAAUUUAGAGGAACUAAAGCUCUUCCAAAUAUUAGCAUUGUGUGAAAAGAAAAAGUGUCCAGGAGAGGCUCUCUUGAUGAAAGCAAAAAAGCUGAGAGAGAACAAGUUAUUGAGUCUGAAAUUGAUUUGACGACUGGAAUUUACUCUGCUGAAGUCAUCAAUACGGUAUCUACAUAGUUCAUUCAAUCAAAGGUUGACUGGAAUUUACUUUUGCAGGUUAUAAAUAAUUUUUUUAUUGUUUACUUUUCAUCUAAUGGCAUAGUUUCUUGGCUCAGUUUAAUGUCGCUUGGCAUCAAGGUUUCGGUUUUGGUGUUGCAACUGUGGUAUUUGAGACACUACUUUCAUUCAUGACUACUAAAAGUAUUGAUAACGUGUUUCAAUAUGAGGCGGUACUAAGCUUGAAUCACUCCUUUUGCUGUUUGUUUUUACUUCAUCUACUUCUUCUCUGGUCUCUGCGUAUUUCCAUUGUGCAGGUUGUCGUAACUGUCGGUAUUGCUUUACAGGUUCUGCGUAUUAGUUCUCAAAGUUUCUGAAUUUCUAACAUGUACAAAUAAUAAUGGGUUUUUGGUCUCAUUGUUGUUGCAGUAAGAUACUGGACAGGGUGGUUUCUGUGGAGUAUACUCUGAGGGAUGAUAGUGAGAGGGUUGAUUAAAGCUGUAGCAGUCCCAGAAGAGGAGGAGGUGGUAUCACAGCCGUUCACCGGUACGAAGGUCAAGGACUUAGGUGAUGUCUGGUUUGAGAUGUGUGGCGCAUUUGGUCGGAUAUGAUUGUUGUACUGAGGUGUAUACAAGCCUGAUAUGGGCAGUAUGCGGUAAUGGAAGUGCUAUCGCGUCCGUCUGCAAUGCGGAGAGGAACUAGGUGCACAUAUGCGAGGAGGAGGAGGAUUUAGUAGGAACUAAGCGUCACAUUUUUAUGUCGGCUCAUCUCCACCGAAUAGACAGAUAUCUACAUCCGAUUAGCGUCGAGCAUAUACGCUCUUGAAUUGCACUUUAAGAUAUUUGGUUUUUUCUACUAAUGUUUAGUAUUGUCUUUUUGAUUUCUAGCUAUGGUACACGGUGUGGUUCGGUUGAUGUGCUAACAUAUUCUUUUUUUGUCUAAUUUGGGUGCUGUGGUAUUUGCUCAAUUUUGUUUGGUAGGUGCGGUUGGAGGAAAUCAUGAAGCCGACAAUAAUUCGUCCGGGGUACCUGUCAUGUGCUGCAGUUAUGAGGAGCAGUAGCCUUUGGUUCUAUGCAAUUGGCAUUACAAAACCAAUUGAAUUUGGAGAUGCAUCGUAUCGGUUUAUGCAUUGUUGCAUCUGAUCUUUUCGGAGUUAUGUUUUUAUCAAUAUUUUGAUUGGUCUGGUGCAGGUGAAUGAUUUGGAAACAAGUAUGAUAGUGAAUGCGGCCCGUUUUGUCGGCAGACCAAUGCAGUGAUCAUUUGAGAUCAAUCAAAGUCAUGGUUCUGCAUGUUGUCAUUUAAAUCUUAAAUACAGACUUAUUUUCUACUUCUGCCUGUAUUUAUAAAGGUAUUAUAUAAU
This is a long non-coding RNA of Vicia villosa (hairy vetch), 2602 nucleotides long. RefSeq lists it as uncharacterized. The transcript is spliced from 9 exons. The record is from RefSeq and is a predicted model, not a curated record. NCBI's taxonomy places the organism in Eukaryota, Viridiplantae, Streptophyta, Magnoliopsida, Fabales, Fabaceae.